RNAcentral lists this ribosomal RNA (1372 nucleotides) under uncultured bacterium. RNAcentral describes it as "bacterial SSU rRNA". It matches the Rfam family "Bacterial small subunit ribosomal RNA", at positions 28 to 1381 of the family's 1533-position model. The record is from RNAcentral.
GAUGAACGCUGGCGGCGUGCCUAAUACAUGCAAGUCGAGCGAACGGACGAGAAGCUUGCUUCUCUGAUGUUAGCGGCGGACGGGUGAGUAACACGUGGAUAACCUACCUAUAAGACUGGGAUAACUUCGGGAAACCGGAGCUAAUACCGGAUAAUAUUUUGAACCGCAUGGUUCAAAAGUGAAAGACGGUCUUGCUGUCACUUAUAGAUGGAUCCGCGCUGCAUUAGCUAGUUGGUAAGGUAACGGCUUACCAAGGCAACGAUGCAUAGCCGACCUGAGAGGGUGAUCGGCCACACUGGAACUGAGACACGGUCCAGACUCCUACGGGAGGCAGCAGUAGGGAAUCUUCCGCAAUGGGCGAAAGCCUGACGGAGCAACGCCGCGUGAGUGAUGAAGGUCUUCGGAUCGUAAAACUCUGUUAUUAGGGAAGAACAUAUGUGUAAGUAACUGUGCACAUCUUGACGGUACCUAAUCAGAAAGCCACGGCUAACUACGUGCCAGCAGCCGCGGUAAUACGUAGGUGGCAAGCGUUAUCCGGAAUUAUUGGGCGUAAAGCGCGCGUAGGCGGUUUUUUAAGUCUGAUGUGAAAGCCCACGGCUCAACCGUGGAGGGUCAUUGGAAACUGGAAAACUUGAGUGCAGAAGAGGAAAGUGGAAUUCCAUGUGUAGCGGUGAAAUGCGCAGCGAUAUGGAGGAACACCAGUGGCGAAGGCGACUUUCUGGUCUGUAACUGACGCUGAUGUGCGAAAGCGUGGGGAUCAAACAGGAUUAGAUACCCUGGUAGUCCACGCCGUAAACGAUGAGUGCUAAGUGUUAGGGGGUUUCCGCCCCUUAGUGCUGCAGCUAACGCAUUAAGCACUCCGCCUGGGGAGUACGACCGCAAGGUUGAAACUCAAAGGAAUUGACGGGGACCCGCACAAGCGGUGGAGCAUGUGGUUUAAUUCGAAGCAACGCGAAGAACCUUACCAAAUCUUGACAUCCUUUGACAACUCUAGAGAUAGAGCCUUCCCCUUCGGGGGACAAAGUGACAGGUGGUGCAUGGUUGUCGUCAGCUCGUGUCGUGAGAUGUUGGGUUAAGUCCCGCAACGAGCGCAACCCUUAAGCUUAGUUGCCAUCAUUAAGUUGGGCACUCUAAGUUGACUGCCGGUGACAAACCGGAGGAAGGUGGGGAUGACGUCAAAUCAUCAUGCCCCUUAUGAUUUGGGCUACACACGUGCUACAAUGGACAAUACAAAGGGCAGCGAAACCGCGAGGUCAAGCAAAUCCCAUAAAGUUGUUCUCAGUUCGGAUUGUAGUCUGCAACUCGACUACAUGAAGCUGGAAUCGCUAGUAAUCGUAGAUCAGCAUGCUACGGUGAAUACGUUCCCGGGUCU